CCUACGGGAGGCAGCAGUGAGGAAUAUUGGUCAAUGGACGAGAGUCUGAACCAGCCAAGUAGCGUGAAGGAUGACUGCCCUAUGGGUUGUAAACUUCUUUUAUAUAGGAAUAAAACGAGGCACGUGUGCGUUUUUGUAUGUACCUUAUGAAUAAGGAUCGGCUAACUCCGUGCCAGCAGCCGCGGUAAUACGGAGGAUCCGAGCGUUAUCCGGAUUUAUUGGGUUUAAAGGGAGCGUAGAUGAGUUGUUAAGUCAGUUGUGAAAGUUUGCGGCUCAACCGUAAAAUUGCAAUUGAUACUGGCAGUCUUGAGUACAGUUGAGGUGGGCGGAAUUCGUGGUGUAGCGUUGAAAUGCUUAGAUAUCACGAAGAACCCCGAUUGCGAAGGCAGCUUACUAAACUGUAACUGACAUUGAUGCUCGAAAGUGUGGGUAUCAAACAGGAUUAGAUACCCGUGUAGUC
RNAcentral lists this ribosomal RNA (460 nucleotides) under uncultured bacterium. RNAcentral's name for it is "partial 16S ribosomal RNA". It matches the Rfam family "Bacterial small subunit ribosomal RNA", at positions 338 to 795 of the family's 1533-position model. The record is from RNAcentral.